UACGUAGGGGGCGAGCGUUAUCCGGAUUUACUGGGUUUAAAGGGUGCGUAGGCUGUGAGGUAAGUCAGCGGUGAAAUGCCCCCGCUCAACGGGGUGAAGUGCCAUUGAUACUGCCUUGCUGGAAUGCGGAUGCCGUGGGAGGAAUGUGUGGUGUAGCGGUGAAAUGCAUAGAUAUCACACAGAACACCGAUUGCGAAGGCAUCUCACGAAUCCGCGAUUGACGCUGAUGCACGAAAGCGUGGGUAUCAAACAGG
RNAcentral lists this ribosomal RNA (254 nucleotides) under uncultured bacterium. RNAcentral's name for it is "partial 16S ribosomal RNA". It matches the Rfam family "Bacterial small subunit ribosomal RNA", at positions 524 to 776 of the family's 1533-position model. The record is from RNAcentral.